AGCCCUGUCGUCUAGCGGCCAAAUAUAAAGGCUAGGGAUAGCAGACUUUGGAUCUGUUGACGGAGGUUCAAAUCCUCCCAGGGCUA
This 86-nucleotide transfer RNA is filed under the name Candidatus Woesearchaeota archaeon. Its description in RNAcentral is "tRNA-Gln". It matches the Rfam family "tRNA". From Rfam's summary of the family: Transfer RNA (tRNA) molecules are approximately 80 nucleotides in length. Their secondary structure includes four short double-helical elements and three loops (D, anti-codon, and T loops). Further hydrogen bonds mediate the characteristic L-shaped molecular structure. tRNAs have two regions of fundamental functional importance: the anti-codon, which is responsible for specific mRNA codon recognition, and the 3' end, to which the tRNAs corresponding amino acid is attached (by aminoacyl-tRNA synthetases). tRNAs cope with the degeneracy of the genetic code in two manners: having more than one tRNA (with a specific anti-codon) for a particular amino acid; and 'wobble' base-pairing, i.e. permitting non-standard base-pairing at the 3rd anti-codon position. The record is from RNAcentral. Lineage: Archaea; Nanobdellati; Candidatus Woesearchaeota.